CUGCAGCCCGAGUGGUGAUCGAUUUUAUUGAGCCUAAAGCGUCCGUAGCCGGACUAGUAAACCCUUGGGUAAAUUGGGCAGCUUAACUGUCCAAAUUCCGAGGGGACUGCUAGUCUUGGGACCGGGAGAGGUCAGAGGUACUCCAGGGGUAGGGGCUAAAUCCUGUAAUCCUUUGGGGACCACCAGUGGCGAAGGCGUCUGACUAGAACGGAUCCGACGGUAAGGGACGAAACCCUGGGGCGCGAACCGGAUUAGAUACCCGCGUAGUCC
This 270-nucleotide ribosomal RNA is filed under the name uncultured archaeon. RNAcentral's name for it is "partial 16S ribosomal RNA". It matches the Rfam family "Archaeal small subunit ribosomal RNA", at positions 477 to 747 of the family's 1478-position model. The record is from RNAcentral.